GCCUCCUCCCCGCCAGAGUGCUCAGCACCGCGCCAGGCUGCAGCCACCGCCGGCCCGCGGACGCGGGCCUUGGCAUCAUCCCCACCUGGACCCCUGCAGCGUAGCACCCCGGCUACUAGCCUCUGCACGGCCCCAGCCCGGCCGCAUGAAAACAGGGGCGGCCUGGGGUGGAAGUGUGCGAGUCCUGCAGCCGAACCGAGGGAGACAGCGACGCCCUAGUGAGGCGUGGCCCGAUCCCCAGGGCUAAGGGUCUGGUACCAUGAGGAUGCCAUAGUUAGAAGUCAGUAGCUGCUUUAAAAAUACGUCACUUUAAUUUUACUUACUCUGGUACCUCAAAAUGCUGAAGACCUCAUGGGGCCCUGUUGGAAUAUGAACGUAUGAUUCCAGCCAGUACUACAGCCUUUUCAGACCUGAAACUUAAGACAUCCUUUAUUGUUGUGUUUUCUAACAGUGCCUAGCACAAGGACCUUUAAAAACUUAAGUAUAAAGAGGUAAAUAGCAAGGUCCCCCUGAGGAGCUGUACUGGGACCUGUGCUGUUCAACAUAUUCAUAAAUGAUCUGGAAAAGGGGACAAACAGUGAGGUGGCAAAGUUUGCAGAUAACACUAAACUUCUCAUUAUUGCAAAAAGCUACAAAGGGAGCUCACAAAACUGGGUCAUGAGGCAAUAAAAUGGCAGAUGAAAUUCAAUGCUGAUAAAAAUUAUCCCAUUUAUACAUACAACAUGGUGGGUUCUAAAUUAGCUGUUACCACUCUAGAAAGUCAAACUGUGGAAUUUGUUGCCUGGGAAUGUUGUGAAGUCCAAAAGUAUAACUUGGUUCUAAAAAGAAAUAAGGAGGAUAGUGUGACACUGUAUAAAAAGGAAGUUGAUCAUCUACACUAGUAUUGUCACCACUGUUACAUAAUUGCUCUAAAUCUUGUCCAAAAUAUGCUAUGUAAGGUAUCCCCCAUGAAGUUGUGAUCUGUUGAACAGUGUUAUCUUGUUGAAAUGUAUAUUUCACCAUUGUGUAUGAAGGUAUGAAAUUUUACUCUCUGCUUAUUACUAAACAUGUGUUCCUGGGUAAUACCCACAAGACAGAUUUACAUGAAGACUAGCCAGCCAUGUGUUGAUGGUCCAUUAAGAAGAAUCAACUCUUCCAGUGGGCCUUUCCCACGGAUGCCUCAGAGAGCAUAUGGACAAUGGAUGCCCCAUGACUCAGCAGGGCAGGUAGAAUAUAUGAUACAUAGCUCCAUGUUUGAGCCAGGACUUUUCCAUGCACAUGGACUGAGGGUAUAAACUGGAAACAAUGACAUAACCUCCUUUCCUCACUACUACCCCACAUCUCUGGACUAUGAUUUCUAACAACUGGAGCUUUGAAAAAUGGACUGAGGACCCCCAUCUUUUGGGUGUACCAGAGAGACUUAUUACAAGCUAACAGAUUUAAUGUCACUGCUCUUACCCUGAUCUAGACUCUGAAAUCAACUGUAAUGUAUAUGAUUCACUUUAACCUUUUAAUAACUCUUCUUUUUUCAUAUUAAUAAACCUUUAGUUUUAAUUUACUAAA
This is a long non-coding RNA of Chrysemys picta bellii (western painted turtle), 1542 nucleotides long. RefSeq lists it as uncharacterized. The record is from RefSeq and is a predicted model, not a curated record. NCBI's taxonomy places the organism in Eukaryota, Metazoa, Chordata, Testudines, Emydidae.